AGGGAUUCAGCAGUGAUAAACAUUGACAAUAAAGCGACAGCUUGACCCAGUUAAAGAAAAAAGAGCCGGCUAAUCUGGUUGCCAGCCGCCGCGUACACCACGUGGCUCAAAUGAUUUUAUCGGCGUAAAGCGUGAUUAAAAGUUCUCUUAAUUUGAGUAAAAACUAAAGCGUGACACGCUUGUUAGAACCAAAACGAAAGUACCCAACACUUGAAUCACGACAGCUGAAACAAACUGGGAUUAGAUACCCCACUAUGCUAGCCGUAAACUUUAAUACAUCCAUCGCCGGGAACUACGAGCAAAGCUUAAAACCCAAAGGACUUGACGGUACCCCAACCACUAGAGGAGCCUGUCCUAUAACGAUAACCCCGUUAACCUCACCCCUUUAGCCUAUCAGCCUGUAUACCUCCGUCGUCAGCUUACCACGUGAGCGCAUCUUAUGAGCUUAAUGUCCACACGCCAAAACGUCAGGUCAAGGUGCAGCACAUAGGGGGGAAGAGAUGGGCUACACUCUCUAAUUUAAAUACCGAAUGACUAUUAUGAAAACUAGUCUAAAGCGGAUUUAGAAGUAAAAAGAAACCACAGUGUUCUUUUUACCCGGCACUGGGGUGUGUACACACCCCGUCACCCUCUUCAAGCCCAACAAGUCUAUAACUACCCUGUAAAGGCAAGUCUACGGUAA
RNAcentral lists this ribosomal RNA (682 nucleotides) under Pseudopaludicola falcipes (Hensel's swamp frog). RNAcentral describes it as "partial 12S ribosomal RNA". The record is from RNAcentral. Lineage: Eukaryota; Metazoa; Chordata; Amphibia; Anura; Leptodactylidae.